RNAcentral lists this long non-coding RNA (1088 nucleotides) under Oryctolagus cuniculus (rabbit). RNAcentral describes it as "lncRNA (ENSOCUG00000037195.1)". Lineage: Eukaryota; Metazoa; Chordata; Mammalia; Lagomorpha; Leporidae. The record is from RNAcentral.
CUGGGGCUUUACCCCACUGUGCCACAGCCCCCCACUUCUGGUUCUUAGGUGUUGGCUUUCAAGCAAGCAUAGGAAACCUGCUGAUGUCUUUGGGUUCUAGAAGGUUCCUCCGCAGGUGGCCUGGGGGCGUUACCGUGUUAUCAGUGGCCACGCCCUGACUUGAGUGCCCAGGUGUGUUUAUUUGCAGUGAGGCGUGACAGCGGGCAGCUUUCUCUGCACCUUCCAGGUCAGGGCGUGGCUACGGUGUCACACUGAGGCCACAUUGUGCGGGCUCGGCCCCCAGCGUCUCCUGUUGCUGGCACUGAGAGGGUGGGGCAGGGGCCUGUGGCAGGGGAUCGGGUUGGACUGAAUCCCCUAGGGUGGAGCCCCCGAGGUUGGAUCUGGUGGCUGGAUGGGAGGCCACAGACACAGACAGGCGCACAGCAGGCCUGCGUGCCACGUGACGCCCGGUGCUGCCCCCACGCCGUCCCCACAGGCCGAGCCGGCCGGGCCUCCUGCCGCUGGGCUGUGACCUCCAGCGCCGUGAUCCCGGCCUCCCCUUCUCUGAGCCCCUCUCGGAUGGUGCCUGAUGAUGGUGAAGCCGACGGGCACGGGCGGGAGUGAUGGGCUGCGUCCGUCGUAAGCCAGCGCUGCUCAGGUCAUUGUUGGGGCACCUCUAGGGCGGCCGUCGGCUUCUUUCUGAUCUCACUGGGCUGAAGCCGGGAGCCCAGGACUCUGUCUGGGUCUGCGACAUGGACAGCCCUUGUCCAACCUCGUGUUUGAUGUGUGGGUGAUGUCCUCCAUGUGCACAGCGACAGCCUCACAUGUCCCGUGUGAUGUGUGGGUCACGUGGUUGUCCAUGUGCACACCCACGGCCUCACGUGUCCCGUGUGAUGUGUGGGUCACAUGGUUGUCCAUGUACACACCCACAGCCUCAUGUGUCCCGUGUGAUGUGGGUCACGUGGUUGUCCACGUGCACACCCACAGCCUCGUGUGUCCUGUGUGCUGUGGGUCACGUGGUUGUCCACGUGCACACCCACAGCCUUGCAUGUCUAUGUUGAUGUGGGUCACAGGGGUCAUUUUGUGUGCCCUCCUCACCAGCCUUUGCG